RNAcentral lists this ribosomal RNA (488 nucleotides) under Enterococcus faecalis. RNAcentral describes it as "partial 23S ribosomal RNA". It matches the Rfam family "Bacterial large subunit ribosomal RNA", at positions 1 to 484 of the family's 2925-position model. The record is from RNAcentral. Lineage: Bacteria; Bacillati; Bacillota; Bacilli; Lactobacillales; Enterococcaceae.
GAUAAGGUUAAGUGAAUAAGGGCGCACGGUGGAUGCCUUGGCACUAGGAGCCGAUGAAGGACGGGACUAACACCGAUAUGCUUUGGGGAGCUGUAAGUAAGCUAUGAUCCAGAGAUUUCCGAAUGGGGGAACCCAAUAUCUUUUAUAGGAUAUUACUUUUCAGUGAAUACAUAGCUGAUUAGAGGUAGACGCAGAGAACUGAAACAUCUUAGUAUCUGCAGGAAGAGAAAGAAAAUUCGAUUCCCUGAGUAGCGGCGAGCGAAACGGGAAGAGCCCAAACCAACAAGCUUGCUUGUUGGGGUUGUAGGACUCCAAUAUGGUAGUCUGUUAGUAUAGUUGAAGGAUUUGGAAAAUUCCGCUAAAGAGGGUGAAAGCCCCGUAGACGAAAUGCUAACAACACCUAGGAGGAUCCUGAGUACGGCGGAACACGAGAAAUUCCGUCGGAAUCCGCGGGGACCAUCCCGCAAGGCUAAAUACUCCCUAGUGAC